UGAAGAGAGGAGCUUGCUCUUCUUGGAUGAGUUGCGAACGGGUGAGUAACGCGUAGGUAACCUGCCUGGUAGCGGGGGAUAACUAUUGGAAACGAUAGCUAAUACCGCAUGAUAUUAAUUGUCGCAUGAUAAUUAAUUGAAAGAUGCAAUUGCAUCACUACCAGAUGGACCUGCGUUGUAUUAGCUAGUUGGUGAGGUAACGGCUCACCAAGGCGACGAUACAUAGCCGACCUGAGAGGGUGAUCGGCCACACUGGGACUGAGACACGGCCCAGACUCCUACGGGAGGCAGCAGUAGGGAAUCUUCGGCAAUGGGGGGAACCCUGACCGAGCAACGCCGCGUGAGUGAAGAAGGUUUUCGGAUCGUAAAGCUCUGUUGUAAGAGAAGAACGGGUGUGAGAGUGGAAAGUUCACACUGUGACGGUAUCUUACCAGAAAGGGACGGCUAACUACGUGCCAGCAGCCGCGGUAAUACGUAGGUCCCGAGCGUUGUCCGGAUUUAUUGGGCGUAAAGCGAGCGCAGGCGGUUAGAUAAGUCUGAAGUUAAAGGCUGUGGCUUAACCAUAGUAUGCUUUGGAAACUGUUUAACUUGAGUGCAGAAGGGGAGAGUGGAAUUCCAUGUGUAGCGGUGAAAUGCGUAGAUAUAUGGAGGAGCACCGGUGGCGAAAGCGG
Molecule: ribosomal RNA, 671 nt
Filed under: uncultured Bacilli bacterium
Lineage: Bacteria; Bacillati; Bacillota; Bacilli
Description: bacterial SSU rRNA
Rfam family: Bacterial small subunit ribosomal RNA
Source: RNAcentral